ACGGAGGAUCCAAGCGUUAUCCGGAUUUAUUGGGUUUAAAGGGUGCGCAGGCGGACUAAUAAGUCAGUGGUGAAAUCUACAUGCUUAACAUGUAAUGUGCCAUUGAUACUGUUAGACUAGUAUGCAAAUGACGUAGCUGGAAUGUGUUAUGUAGCGGUGGAAGAAUUUGUUAUAACACAGCACACCAAACUUGUGGGCGGUUUAAGAAUAUUGUAUGGCCUCUCAAUCAUGCAGGGGUGUAUCUCAUACAG
Molecule: ribosomal RNA, 251 nt
Filed under: uncultured prokaryote
Description: partial 16S rRNA
Rfam family: Bacterial small subunit ribosomal RNA
Source: RNAcentral